UACGUAGGCAGCGAGCGUUGUUCGGAAUUACUGGGCGUAAAGAGUGUGUAGGCGGUGCUCUAAGUUCGGUGUGAAAUCUCCUGGCUUAACUGGGAGGGUGCGCCGGAAACUGGAGUGCUCGAGCGUGGGAGAGGAAAGCGGAAUUCCUGGUGUAGCGGUGAAAUGCGUAGAUAUCAGGAGGAACACCUGUGGUGUAGACGGCUUUCUGGACCAUUGCUGACGCUGAGACACGAAAGCGUGGGUAGCAAACAGG
RNAcentral lists this ribosomal RNA (253 nucleotides) under uncultured bacterium. Its description in RNAcentral is "partial 16S ribosomal RNA". It matches the Rfam family "Bacterial small subunit ribosomal RNA", at positions 524 to 776 of the family's 1533-position model. The record is from RNAcentral.